This 253-nucleotide ribosomal RNA is filed under the name uncultured bacterium. Its description in RNAcentral is "partial 16S ribosomal RNA". It matches the Rfam family "Bacterial small subunit ribosomal RNA", at positions 524 to 776 of the family's 1533-position model. The record is from RNAcentral.
UACGGAGGGUGCAAGCGUUAUCCGGAUUCACUGGGUUUAAAGGGUGCGUAGGCGGGCAGGUAAGUCAGUGGUGAAAUCCCCGAGCUUAACUUGGGAACUGCCGUUGAUACUAUCUGUCUUGAAUACCGUGGAGGUGAGCGGAAUAUGUCAUGUAGCGGUGAAAUGCUUAGAUAUGACAUAGAACACCAAUUGCGAAGGCAGCUCGCUACACGAAUAUCGACGCUGAGGCACGAAAGCGUGGGGAGCAAACAGG